Molecule: ribosomal RNA, 490 nt
Filed under: uncultured bacterium
Lineage: Bacteria
Description: partial 16S ribosomal RNA
Rfam family: Bacterial small subunit ribosomal RNA
Source: RNAcentral
GUUGAACGCUGGCGGCAGGCCUAACACAUGCAAGUCGAACGGUAACAGGAAGAAGCUUGCUUCUUUGCUGACGAGUGGCGGACGGGUGAGUAAUGUCUGGGAAACUGCCUGAUGGAGGGGGAUAACUACUGGAAACGGUAGCUAAUACCGCAUAACGUCGCAAGACCAAAGAGGGGGACCUUCGGGCCUCUUGCCAUCGGAUGUGCCCAGAUGGGAUUAGCUAGUAGGUGGGGUAACGGCUCACCUAGUCGACGAUCCCUAGCUGGUCUGAGAGGAUGACCAGCCACACUGGAACUGAGACACGGUCCAGACUCCUACGGGAGGCAGCAGUGGGGAAUAUUGCACAAUGGGCGCAAGCCUGAUGCAGCCAUGCCGCGUGUAUGAAGAAGGCCUUCGGGUUGUAAAGUACUUUCAGCGGGGAGGAAGGGAGUAAAGUUAAUACCUUUGCUCAUUGACGUUACCCGCAGAAGAAGCACCGGCUAACUCCGUG